RNAcentral lists this ribosomal RNA (310 nucleotides) under uncultured bacterium. RNAcentral's name for it is "partial 16S ribosomal RNA". It matches the Rfam family "Bacterial small subunit ribosomal RNA", at positions 503 to 807 of the family's 1533-position model. The record is from RNAcentral.
AAGAGACAGCAGUAGCCGCGGUAAUACGGAGGGGGCUAGCGUUGUUCGGAAUUACUGGGCGUAAAGCGCACGUAGGCGGCUUGGUAAGUUAGAGGUGAAAGCCCAGGGCUCAACCCUGGAAUUGCCUUUAAGACUGCCAAGCUAGUAGGUGAGAGAGGUGAGUGGAAUUCCGAGUGUAGAGGUGAAAUUCGUAGAUAUUCGGAAGAACACCAGUGGCGAAGGCGGCUUACUGGCUCAUACUGGACGCUGAGGUGCGAAAGCGUGGGGAGCAAACAGGAUUAGAUACCCCGGUAGUCCCUGUCUCUUAUAC